This is a long non-coding RNA of Boleophthalmus pectinirostris (great blue-spotted mudskipper), 971 nucleotides long. RefSeq lists it as uncharacterized. Lineage: Eukaryota; Metazoa; Chordata; Actinopteri; Gobiiformes; Gobiidae. The transcript has 2 exons. The record is from RefSeq and is a predicted model, not a curated record.
UGUACUACAAUUCUUUGAUUUAUAAUGUACCAAUCACUUGUCACUUGUUGAAUAACCUCUGUGUGUUUGACAACUGUGUGCAGUGACCUAUCGCUCUUGUGAACCUCGAGAUGAUUCCUCACAUGAAGCCAACUCCCACUGUCACACAUGCAAGAGUUAUGAUGGUGUCUGACUAUACCUAAGGCACCUCCUGAUUGUUAAUCAUGUUUUAUGUGUUUAUACUAUGCAUAGCUGCAUCAGUUUCUUAUUAUGUCUUUGCUGGUUUCCCCUUCCCCUUGAGAAUUAUCAUUCUGUAACUAGGGCCUCCUAAUGAAAUAAAAAGAGGAGAACGGCCUUGAGUCAUCAGAACGUGUGGAGACUGUUGGUUUUGAUGCCCACUCUCUGCCCGUUCUCCUCAUGAGUAAAACUGAAUUAAUCUCUUGUCUUUCUUCUUGUUUAUAAUGUUUAGAUAAACCUAACAUUUACUUGGUGGAGAUGCCGGAUCCCAAAAAUACCUGAGGACUCCAACGGACGUUAAGAAUCCAGAAAGACCGUGGCCACGGCCCUCUGCUACGAGGUGACAUACCCUUUCCGGGCUGGUUAUCUUAUCGCCGGUUGGAGUCUGACGGUUGACGGGGGAACCGAGGGAGAAAGACAACAGACUUGACCUAUCGCUCUUGUGAACCUCGAGAUGAUUCCUCACAUGAAGCCAACUCCCACUGUCACACAUGCAAGAGUUAUGAUGGUGUCUGACUAUACCUAAGGCACCUCCUGAUUGUUAAUCAUGUUUUAUGUGUUUAUACUAUGCAUAGCUGCAUCAGUUUCUUAUUAUGUCUUUGCUGGUUUCCCCUUCCCCUUGAGAAUUAUCAUUCUGUAACUAGGGCCUCCUAAUGAAAUAAAAAGAGGAGAACGGCCUUGAGUCAUCAGAACGUGUGGAGACUGUUGGUUUUGAUGCCCACUCUCUGCCCGUUCUCCUCAUGAGUAAAACUGAA